AAUCAACGCUGGCGGCGUGCCUAACACAUGCAAGUCGAACGCGAAAGGGGCUUCGGUCCUGAGUAGAGUGGCGGACGGGUGAGUAACACGUGGAUGACCUGCCCUCGAGUGGGGGAUAACUCUUCGAAAGGGGAGCUAAGACCGCAUGAGCUCCCGGGGGCGACUCUGGGAGGAAAGCCUGAGGGUGCUGGAGGAGGGGUCCGCGACCGAUUAGCUGGUUGGUGGGGUAAGGCCUACCAAGGCGACGAUCGGUAGCCGGUCUGAGAGGACGGACGGCCACACUGGAACUGAGAGACGGUCCAGACUCCUACGGGAGGCAGCAGUGGGGAAUUUUGCGCAAUGGGCGCAAGCCUGACGCAGCAACGCCGCGUGGAGGAUGAAGGUUUUCGGAUUGUAAACUCCUGUCCCGGGGAAGAAGGCAGUGACGGUACCCUGGGAGGAAGCCCGGCUAACUCCGUG
RNAcentral lists this ribosomal RNA (459 nucleotides) under uncultured bacterium. RNAcentral's name for it is "bacterial SSU rRNA". It matches the Rfam family "Bacterial small subunit ribosomal RNA", at positions 28 to 507 of the family's 1533-position model. The record is from RNAcentral.